Molecule: ribosomal RNA, 440 nt
Filed under: uncultured bacterium
Lineage: Bacteria
Description: partial 16S ribosomal RNA
Rfam family: Bacterial small subunit ribosomal RNA
Source: RNAcentral
CCUACGGGCGGCAGCAGCGGGGGAUAUUGCACAAUGGGGGAAACCCUGAUGCAGCGACGCCGCGUGUAGGAAGACGGUCCUCUGGAUUGUAAACUACUGUCCCCAGGGACGAAGAUGACGGUACCUGGGGAGGAAGCUCCGGCUAACUACGUGCCAGCAGCCGCGGCAAUACGUAGGGAGCGAGCGUUGUCCGGAAUUACUGGGUGUAAAGGGAGCGUAGGCGGGGAUGCAAGUUGGGUGUUAAAUCUACCGGCUCAACUGGUAGUCGCACUCAAAACUGCAGAUCGUGAGUGAAGUAGAGGCAGGCGGAAUUCCUAGUGUAGCGGUGAAAUGCGUAGAUAUUAGGAGGAACACCAGUGGCGAAGGCGGCCUGCUGGGCUUUUACUGACGCUGAGGCUCGAAAGUGUGGGGAGCAAACAGGAUUAGAUACCCUGGUAGUC